UACGUAGGGCGCAAGCGUUGUCCGAAAUUAUUGGGCGUAAAGAGCUCGUAGGCGGUUUGUCGCGUCUGCUGUGAAAACCUAAGGCUCAACCUUGGGCUUGCAGUGGGUACGGGCAGACUAGAGUGCGGUAGGGGUGACUGGAAUUCCUGGUGUAGCGGUGGAAUGCGCAGAUAUCAGGAGGAACACCGGUGGCGAAGGCGGGUCUCUGGGCCGAUAUCGACGCUGAGGAGCGAAAGCGUGGGGAGCGAACAGG
This 253-nucleotide ribosomal RNA is filed under the name uncultured bacterium. RNAcentral describes it as "partial 16S ribosomal RNA". It matches the Rfam family "Bacterial small subunit ribosomal RNA", at positions 524 to 776 of the family's 1533-position model. The record is from RNAcentral.